UACGAAGGGGGCUAGCGUUGCUCGGAAUCGCUGGGCGUAAAGCGCACGUAGGCGGAUCGUUAAGUCGGGGGUGAAAUCCUGGAGCUCAACUCCAGAACUGCCUUCGAUACUGGCGAUCUUGAGUCCGGAAGAGGUGAGUGGAACUCCUAGUGUAGAGGUGGAAUUCGUAGAUAUUAGGAAGAACACCAGUGGCGAAGGCGGCUCACUGGUCCGGUACUGACGCUGAGGUGCGAAAGCGUGGGGAGCAAACAGG
RNAcentral lists this ribosomal RNA (253 nucleotides) under uncultured bacterium. Its description in RNAcentral is "partial 16S ribosomal RNA". It matches the Rfam family "Bacterial small subunit ribosomal RNA", at positions 524 to 776 of the family's 1533-position model. The record is from RNAcentral.